Molecule: ribosomal RNA, 762 nt
Filed under: uncultured bacterium
Lineage: Bacteria
Description: bacterial SSU rRNA
Rfam family: Bacterial small subunit ribosomal RNA
Source: RNAcentral
GAGCGGAGAUAUAUGGAGCUUGCUUUAUAUAACUUAGCAGCGAACGGGUGAGUAACACGUAGAUAAUCUAUCCUAUACUGGGGGAUAGCCCGAUGAAAGUUGGAUUAAUACCGCAUAUAGCUAUAUAGUUGCAUGAUUAUGUAGUGAAAGAUUUAUUGGUAUAGGAGGAGUCUGCGGCACAUUAGCUAGUAGGUGAGGUAAAGGCUUACCUAGGCGACGAUGUGUAGCCGGUCUGAGAGGAUGAACGGCCACAAUGGAACUGAGACACGGUCCAUACUCCUACGGGAGGCAGCAGUGGGGAAUAUUGCACAAUGGGGGAAACCCUGAUGCAGCAACGCCGCGUGAGUGAAGAAGGUUUUCGGAUUGUAAAGCUCUGUUAGCAGGGAAGAGGAAGGACGGUACCUGCAGAGGAAGCCACGGCUAACUACGUGCCAGCAGCCGCGGUAAUACGUAGGUGGCAAGCGUUGUUCGGAAUAACUGGGCGUAAAGGAUGCGUAGGCGGUUAAACAAGUUAUAUGUUAAAUAUAUAGGCUUAACCUGUAGAAAGCAUAUAAAACUGUUUAACUAGAGUGCAGGAGAGGUAGGUGGAAUUCCUAGUGUAGCGGUGAAAUGCGUAGAGAUUAGGAAGAACACCAGUGGCGAAGGCGACUUACUGGACUGUAACUGACGCUGAGGCAUGAGAGCAUGGGGAGCAAACAGGGUUAGAUACCCUGGUAGUCCAUGCUGUAAACGAUGGGUACUAGGUGUGGGUUGUGAAUAACA